GGUGAAAGGUCGGCGGCGCCGGUGCUGCAGCUGGGGCAGCAGAGCCAGGACGGCCAAGGAACUGACUGACAGACGGACUGACCAUGGCCGAUCAGCCGAAGCCCAUUAGCCCGCUCAAGAACCUGCUGGCCGGCGGCUUUGGCGGCGUGUGUCUGGUGUUCGUGGGGCACCCUCUGGACACGAUCAAGGUCCAACUGCAGACACAGCCACCAAGUUUGCCUGGACAGCCUCCCAUGUACUCUGGGACCAUUGACUGUUUCCGGAAGACUCUUAUUAGAGAGGGCAUCACAGGGCUAUACCGGGGAAUGACUGCCCCUAUUAUCGAGGUCACCCCCAUGUUUGCAGUGUGUUUCUUUGGGUUUGGUUUGGGGAAGAAACUACAACAGAAACACCCAGAGGAUGUGCUCAGCUAUCCCCAACUGUUUGCAGCUGGGAUGUUAUCUGGUGUAUUCACCACAGCAAUCAUGACUCCUGGAGAACGAAUCAAGUGCUUAUUACAGAUUCAGGCUUCUUCUGGGGAAACCAAGUACACUGGUACCUUGGACUGUGCAAAGAAGCUGUAUAAGGAGUCUGGGAUCCGAGGCAUCUACAAAGGGACCGUGCUUACCCUCAUGCGAGAUGUUCCAGCCAGUGGGAUGUAUUUCAUGACAUAUGAAUGGCUGAAAAAUAUCUUCACUCCAGAGGGAAAGAGGGUCAGUGAGCUCAGUGCACCUAGGAUCCUGGUGGCUGGGGGCAUUGCAGGGAUCUUCAACUGGGCUGUGGCAAUCCCUCCAGAUGUGCUCAAGUCCCGCUUCCAGACUGCAUCUCCUGGGAAGUAUCCUAAUGGUUUCAGAGAUGUGCUGAGAGAGUUGAUUCGGGAUGAAGGAGUCACAUCUUUGUACAAGGGGUUCAAGGCAGUGAUGAUCCGAGCCUUCCCAGCCAAUGCGGCCUGUUUCCUUGGCUUUGAAGUUGCCAUGAAGUUCCUUAAUUGGGCCAUGCCCAACUUGUGAGGCCAAAGCUGCUCAAGGCUUCUGGAUGCUGGAAGCUGCCACCGAGGAAGAAUAGAGGGCAGGACUAAGCAGGCCUAAAGGGUGAGGGGAGGGGUAUGGUGGGGUCAGAGCUCUGUGUACAAACUUGGUGAGACCCUUGCCUUAAUGACAUACUCCACCUUGUAUACCUUGGUGUGCCAUUUUGAAACUUGAAUUCACUCUUGUCAAUUUA
Carlito syrichta (Philippine tarsier) is the source of this 1200-nucleotide RNA transcript. It is a transcript of the gene named mitochondrial carnitine/acylcarnitine carrier protein pseudogene, with no coding region annotated. The record is from RefSeq and is a predicted model, not a curated record. Lineage: Eukaryota; Metazoa; Chordata; Mammalia; Primates; Tarsiidae. The transcript has a single exon.